CCGUCAUAUCACGUUGAAACACCGCUUCGCGUACAAUCACCGAAAUUAAGCAACGUCGAGCCUAGUUAAUACCUAGAUGGGUGACCGCUUGGGAAUAGCAAGUGCUGUAAG
Non-coding RNA from Acanthosepion pharaonis, 111 nucleotides. NCBI's taxonomy places the organism in Eukaryota, Metazoa, Mollusca, Cephalopoda, Sepiida, Sepiidae. The record is from the annotation of a GenBank genome assembly.